CACUUUACGACGCGUAUAUUGGCAAAUAUACAACGAUCCGACCCGUGCGCUACAAUUUUGACCCAAAUUCACGACCAAUAUACUACGAUUACGUCCAAAUAUACUACGAUCGCACUCAAAUAUACCUACGAAAGUGUAAAAGACGAUAAAUAUAUUGAACGAUAUGGGUCAAAUAUACCCAAAAAUUCAAUUACGAUUUC
The sequence is a regulatory RNA element, 200 nucleotides long. It matches the Rfam family "Baculoviridae Nucleocapsid Assembly essential Element". From Rfam's summary of the family: Internal cis-element within the ac83 gene. The record is from Rfam.